RNAcentral lists this ribosomal RNA (480 nucleotides) under uncultured Saprospiraceae bacterium. RNAcentral's name for it is "bacterial SSU rRNA". It matches the Rfam family "Bacterial small subunit ribosomal RNA", at positions 28 to 505 of the family's 1533-position model. Lineage: Bacteria; Pseudomonadati; Bacteroidota; Saprospiria; Saprospirales; Saprospiraceae. The record is from RNAcentral.
GAUGAACGCUAGCGGGAGGCUUAAUACAUGCAAGUCGAACGGUAAGGUCAGAGCUUGCUCUGAUACACGAGUGGCGCACGGGUGAGUAACGCGUACACAAUCUACCUCGAAGUGAGGGAUAGCCCCGGGAAACUGGGAUUAAUACCUCAUGGUAUUCAGGUUUUACAUUUGGAUUAAAGGAUUCGAUCCGCUUUGAGACGAGUGUGCGUUAGAUUAGCUAGUUGGUAGGGUAACGGCCUACCAAGGCGACGAUCUAUAGGGGGCGUGAGAGCGUGAACCCCCACACGGGUACUGAGACACGGACCCGACUCCUACGGGAGGCAGCAGUAAGGAAUAUUGGACAAUGGGGGCAACCCUGAUCCAGCCAUCCCGCGUGGAGGAAGACGGCCCUAUGGGUUGUAAACUCCUUUUGUAUGGGAAGAAUAUGUUUCAUUAAUGAGAUUUUGACGGUACCAUACGAAUAAGCACCGGCUAACUCCG